Molecule: signal recognition particle RNA, 273 nt
Filed under: Carlito syrichta (Philippine tarsier)
Lineage: Eukaryota; Metazoa; Chordata; Mammalia; Primates; Tarsiidae
Description: Metazoan signal recognition particle RNA (ENSTSYG00000035919.1)
Rfam family: Metazoan signal recognition particle RNA
About the family: The signal recognition particle (SRP) is a universally conserved ribonucleoprotein. It is involved in the co-translational targeting of proteins to membranes.
Source: RNAcentral
GCUGGGAGUGGUGGUGCGCGCCUGUAGUCCCAACUACUCGGGAGGCUGAGGUGGGAGGAGCACUUGAGCCCAGGAGUUCUGGGCACUAAGUCUGGCACUAAGUUUGGCAUCAAUAUGGUGACCUCCCAGAGUGGAGGACCACCAGGUUGCUUAAGGGGGGUGAACCAGCCCAGGUCAGAAACAGAACAGGUCAAAACUCCCGUGCUGACCAGUAGUGGGAUCACGCCUGUGAAUAGCCACUGCACUCCAGGCAACAUAGAGAACCUUGUCUCU